This 253-nucleotide ribosomal RNA is filed under the name uncultured bacterium. RNAcentral describes it as "partial 16S ribosomal RNA". It matches the Rfam family "Bacterial small subunit ribosomal RNA", at positions 524 to 776 of the family's 1533-position model. The record is from RNAcentral.
UACGUAGGGCGCAAGCGUUGUCCGGAAUUAUUGGGCGUAAAGAGCGUGUAGGCGGCCAUGUAGGUCCGUUGUGAAAACUCGAGGCUCAACCUCGAGACGCCGAUGGAAACCAUGUGGCUAGAGUCCGGAAGAGGAGAGUGGAAUUCCUGGUGUAGCGGUGAAAUGCGCAGAUAUCAGGAAGAACACCCGUGGCUAAGGCGGCUCUCUAGUACGGUACUGACGCUGAGACGCGAAAGCGUGGGGAGCGAACAGG